GAUGAACGCUAGCGGCAGGCUUAAUACAUGCAAGUCGAGGGGCAGCACGGGUAGCAAUACUUGGUGGCGACCGGCGCACGGGUGCGUAACACGUAUACAAUCUACCUUAAACAGGGGGAUAGCCUUUCGAAAGAGAGAUUAAUACCCCGUAACAAAUUGAGUGGCAUCACUUGAUUUUGAAAGUUCCGACGGUUUAAGAUGAGUAUGCGUCUGAUUAGCUAGUUGGUGGUGUAAUGGACCACCAAGGCGACGAUCAGUAGGGGAUCUGAGAGGACUACCCCCCACACUGGUACUGAGACACGGACCAGACUCCUACGGGAGGCAGCAGCAAGGAAUAUUGGUCAAUGGAGGCAACUCUGAACCAGCCAUGCCGCGUGCAGGAAGACGGCCCUAUGGGUUGUAAACUGCUUUUGUACCAGAGAAAACCUACUCACGUGUGAGUAGCUGAUAGUAUGGUAAGAAUAAGCUCCGGCUAACUCCGUGCCAGCAGCCGCCGUAA
RNAcentral lists this ribosomal RNA (499 nucleotides) under uncultured bacterium. RNAcentral's name for it is "partial 16S ribosomal RNA". It matches the Rfam family "Bacterial small subunit ribosomal RNA", at positions 28 to 523 of the family's 1533-position model. The record is from RNAcentral.